RNAcentral lists this ribosomal RNA (274 nucleotides) under uncultured bacterium. Its description in RNAcentral is "partial 16S ribosomal RNA". It matches the Rfam family "Bacterial small subunit ribosomal RNA", at positions 523 to 796 of the family's 1533-position model. The record is from RNAcentral.
AUACAGAGGGUGCAAGCGUUAUUCGGAAUUACUGGGCGUAAAGCGCGCGUAGGCGGAUGAUUAAGUCAGUUGUGAAAGCCCUGGGCUCAACCUAGGAACUGCAUCUGAUACUGGUCGUCUAGAGUUUAAGAGAGGGAAGUGGAAUUCCAGGUGUAGCAGUGAAAUGCGUAGAUAUCUGGACGAACAUCAGUGGCGAAGGCGACUUCCUGGCUUAAAACUGACGCUGAGGUGCGAAAGCGUGGGUAGCGAACGGGAUUAGAAACCCUAGUAGUCC